GGUUCGAUGGUGUAGUUGGUUAUCACGUCUGUCUCACACAGCACCUAUAAAGAUACUGUACAUUUGUGCACACAGGAGGUCUCCGGUUCGAGCCCGGAUCGAACCA
Molecule: non-coding RNA, 106 nt
Organism: Trametes punicea
Lineage: Eukaryota; Fungi; Basidiomycota; Agaricomycetes; Polyporales; Polyporaceae
Source: the annotation of a GenBank genome assembly